This 491-nucleotide ribosomal RNA is filed under the name Arthrobacter sp. hata13. Its description in RNAcentral is "bacterial SSU rRNA". It matches the Rfam family "Bacterial small subunit ribosomal RNA", at positions 127 to 624 of the family's 1533-position model. The record is from RNAcentral. RNAcentral also lists the same sequence under 5 other names. Lineage: Bacteria; Bacillati; Actinomycetota; Actinomycetes; Micrococcales; Micrococcaceae.
UGCCCUUGACUCUGGGAUAAGCCUGGGAAACUGGGUCUAAUACCGGAUAUGACUUCUCAUCGCAUGGUGGGGGGUGGAAAGCUUUUGUGGUUUUGGAUGGACUCGCGGCCUAUCAGCUUGUUGGUGGGGUAAUGGCCUACCAAGGCGACGACGGGUAGCCGGCCUGAGAGGGUGACCGGCCACACUGGGACUGAGACACGGCCCAGACUCCUACGGGAGGCAGCAGUGGGGAAUAUUGCACAAUGGGCGCAAGCCUGAUGCAGCGACGCCGCGUGAGGGAUGACGGCCUUCGGGUUGUAAACCUCUUUCAGUAGGGAAGAAGCCCUCUUUUGGGGGUGACGGUACUUGCAGAAGAAGCGCCGGCUAACUACGUGCCAGCAGCCGCGGUAAUACGUAGGGCGCAAGCGUUAUCCGGAAUUAUUGGGCGUAAAGAGCUCGUAGGCGGUUUGUCGCGUCUGCUGUGAAAGACCGGGGCUCAACUCCGGUUCUGC